RNAcentral lists this long non-coding RNA (865 nucleotides) under Helianthus annuus (common sunflower). RNAcentral's name for it is "hypothetical non coding rna". The record is from RNAcentral. Lineage: Eukaryota; Viridiplantae; Streptophyta; Magnoliopsida; Asterales; Asteraceae.
UUCAAACUCUCACCUUUUCUUCACAAACAUUCUCUCACCAAGAAAAAAAACUUCAUAACUGGUGGUGUAUUAUGAUUUUAGUUUAUGAAAUGUUUCGUAAAUUUUGUUUUGUUGGAUCUCGUUGUUUAAAAAAAUAGGACCUGACACAUUAAAAUAGGCACUAUAAGUUACAAACAGAAAUAUAUCUAGAAUUACUAUUUUACAUAAUGUUAUAUAACUUUUAAUUAUCGAAAUCUGUUUCUAAAGUUUUAAAGUUGAGUUCUUCCUUUUUCUUGAGUGUAAAGGGAUGUUAGAACAACCACCAACCAGAUCUAUUCUGAUAUGUGUGGAUAGUUUUCUUGUAACCAAGCUGGAGAGAUCUGACCAGUAGAUCGAGUUUUCCGGUAACUGCGUUGCACAGAUCUAACCGGUUGAUCAAGUUUUCCGGUAACCAAGCUACUCAGAUGUGUCCGAUUUGCGUGGGCAGCAGACAUUGUCUCACAAAAGCAACUCCGACGAACAUGAGUAUGUCCCGAUACCUCAAAUCUGAUUCUCGGUCAACGACUCGCCUGGUAGAGAACUGACAAUAGGAGUAGAAGAAGAUGAAAGUGUAUAACAUAAACGAAUGAUUAGGUUAGCAACUCCGUUAAAUAAGCUUUUUUAGUUUUAAAUUAUUAAAAGUGUUGGUAACAUUUUUGGAAAUGUUGAGAAACAUAGAGAAAUCUCAAAAGGCAUGUUUCAUCUCACUCAACAACUAUCAUGUAAAUUAUACAUACGAUAUGAAAUCAAAACUCAAUCAUAAAUGACCGUAAUCGUUGUAUCAAUCGAUGUCUGCAAAAAAAUUGACCAAGAAAUUGGAUUUUCUUUGACGAAUGAAAAGGACUAA